CUACGGGAGGCACCAGUAAAGAAUCUUCCACAAUGGGGGAAACCCUGAUGGAGCAAUCUCGCGUGAAUGAUGAAGGCCGAAAGGUCGUAAAAUUCUUUUCUGAAGGAAUAAUUUUGAAGGUACUUUAGGAAUAAGCACCGGCUAACUCCGUGCCAGCAGCCGCGGUAAUACGGAGGGUGCAAGCGUUAUCCGGAAUCAUUGGGCGUAAAGCGUCCGCAGGCGGUUUAUUAAGUUAGUUAUUAAAUCUGGAAGCCCAACUUUCAGGCUGUAACUAAAACUGGUAAACUAGAGUCUUUCAGAGGUACGCGGAAUUCUGUGUGUAGGGGUAAAAUCCGUAGAUACACAGAAGAACACCAAAAGCGAAGGCAGCGUACUGGGAAAGUACUGACGCUCAUGGACGAAAGCGUGGGGAGCGAACGGGAUUAGAUACCCCAGUAGUC
RNAcentral lists this ribosomal RNA (440 nucleotides) under uncultured bacterium. RNAcentral describes it as "partial 16S ribosomal RNA". It matches the Rfam family "Bacterial small subunit ribosomal RNA", at positions 339 to 795 of the family's 1533-position model. The record is from RNAcentral.